Molecule: long non-coding RNA, 2502 nt
Organism: Papaver somniferum (opium poppy)
Lineage: Eukaryota; Viridiplantae; Streptophyta; Magnoliopsida; Ranunculales; Papaveraceae
Exons: 3
Source: RefSeq, a predicted model, not a curated record
CACGUUUACGGACACGAGCAGCUAAAGAUAUUUGGGUCCUUGAUACUGUGAACCAAAUUUAGAAGGCGUAAAGACUCUUUUUCUUUGCCAUAUCCGACAAACUCUUCUUUCAAAACCACUGUUUCCCAAUCAGUUCACCAAAUAAGUUUUGAUUUUGUAAAGGCGAAUUUGAACCCAACCCACCCUCUGUUUUCGGUUGAAGAUCGGUCUCGCAAAGAUUUACUAGCUUCUUGUACCUAAUGAUUUGGAUUUUCAUUGACGCAUAUGAAUUGAUGUAUUUUCGGGUUGAACAAAGAGCUAUCGGUUUGCAUCGAAAUGCAUGUAAGAAUUUACAUUUUGGCGUUUUAUUACGAUGGGAAGCUAGGUGACUCUACUUUAGGAACGUCGGGCCUAAGUGACAUCCCACCAACUCGAUGGCUACCUGGAAGAUCGUUGCGGCAACGAUGGCUGGUAACCAGAACUACCCUGACGGUGGCUAUGGCCAUGUGAAUAGUAGAGUAAAUUUUGUUUGCGGCUCUUAAUCUUUUUAUGAUUUACAUUUGCAUAAGAAUUAUAUUUCUAUAUUUCUGUUUAGCUGGUGUUUUUGUUUAUUAUCCAUGUUUAGUUCUCGCAUCGUGUUUUUGUUGUUAUACCCUCUACUGGGCAUCCGCUCACCCCCUUUGUUUUGUUUUCCCCCCGCCGGGUAGAGCUUACGGAAGCAUUAGCGCUAUGAAAGUUAGUAUUCUGUUAUUUUUGAUGUGUAUAUCACGGGGUACCUGGGUGUUUAGUUUGUUUGCCUUGAUACCAUGUCUUUUUUUUUGUACAUUUUGCUGUUAUCAUUGGGGUCUUGUAAAUGAUCUUUAUAUGAUCUGUAACUGAAAACUUGCCGGUUUGGUAUAUAAUGGGUCCGUCUUGGGUGUUGCAACAGUGCUUUUGAAUCCCUUUUGUUGUCAUAUAUCUAUAUACUUCAUGCAUACUCAUUUAUGCGUUAUUGAGUGUUUGUUUUGAUUUUUUUCGGAACUCUUGAACUUGAUUAAUUUUCUUGAUUUUUUCAAAACUCUUGAACUUGAUUAAUUUUGCUGCGUUGGAUCAUGGUAUAAAAUGUAUAUGUUUUCUCUACCGUUUUACUCUAAGCACCUUAAAGUCAUUUCUAAACUGUGUCCUUCACUAGUUUCUUCUUAUAUAAAUCUUUUCUGUUUAUGUAUCGUUUUACAAGUCGAGUGACGUGUUGGUGGGUUUGGCCUUGCUAAUGGGUUGAAAAUCAGCCCAUUAGGAGGGAAAAUUCACCAGUCCGUUACAGUUCUGAUCUUUAUCGUAAGCACUGAACCUUGCUACUUACUCUAUAAUCAACAUGACUUAUAUGUCCGUAUUCAACUGUGGAGUUUGAAUUGUGGUAAUUGUUUUUCUAUCUACUUUGCUUACACUUGUUACUUAUUUGAUCGUGGAAAAGGGUUUGGUGGAUAUAUUAUGGAUCCUAAUAGUGGGACAUUUAUCAAUGAGUUUGUUUUGGAUCAUGGGUACCAACUGGAUUUGUUAUUGCCAGCCGUCAUUCUGUUUUUAUUUGUGUGGUUGUCUUUGGAAGCUGAGAAUAGUAUUGGUAGUCGUAAGCUGUAUAAGAGACAUAUUGUUGUGCUUCAGAUUCUUUCGGAACAAUGUGAAAUCCUCUUGGAGGUCCUUCCAGCUUCUAUCUCCAAUGUGAACAGUCAUUUUUAUCUCCACACUACGGGGGCCAACUUUCAAUUCGCGUCAUUGAGGGUAUUUCCUUUGAGAUGGAAGUUUGCAGCAGAUAAUGAUGCUCAUCCCAAUGAUAUACUGGAGCGAAGUCCUGGUCAGGUUACACUAUGGCUUACAGUCAUGGAUUGUAUUGGUAGUCAAUUUCUGGGAGCUAGAAUAAUUAAGUGGUAGCUAGCCUUCUCCUUAUAUCCAAGGCUAGGUUUGAGUUUGCAAGGGUGUGGCACGACAAGCAAGGAAGAAUUUUUCUUCUGUUUUGGUUUACAAGGGAGUCGCACUUCUUAUACAGCAGGACUGCCAUACAAGAACUGUUAUCUACCAAGGGAGGUACAACAUAUCGGGGCAUCACUACAACCUGGACUAUAAGAAGUUCUCCACACCAAUUGAGAUGAUAAGUACCUUAGCCUCCACCUUGUUCCUCACUGACAUAUUUACAAGUGAAGCUGCUACUAAAGUCUGCCCAGCUGCACAUGUACCUGCCAUAUGAGAAGGUGUCCUACGACUAAGUUCUUCAUCCUUGAGGACAAGGAUGUUUCCAAGGAUUGGGGAAUGUCAUGUACCUGCCAUAUGAGAAGGUGUCCCCUAGUCUGUUACUUGUUAUCCCAUAUAUCUUAGUAGUAAUAAUGUCGAGUUAAUCAGUUAGUGUUUAAUUGAGUUGUAAUUGAUGGUUUAGAUGAGGCCAUCUGGGGUGUUAAUAACCGUUGGAUAUUCGUGGAGAUACCUAGCUAUAUAAGGCAGGUCUGUAAUGAGAAACUCUUAAGAAAUGAAUAAUCAAAAAGAUCGUUUUAACGA